Molecule: ribosomal RNA, 497 nt
Filed under: uncultured bacterium
Lineage: Bacteria
Description: partial 16S ribosomal RNA
Rfam family: Bacterial small subunit ribosomal RNA
Source: RNAcentral
ACUCAAAUGAAUUGACGGGGGCCCGCACAAGCGGCGGAGCAUGCGGAUUAAUUCGAUGCAACGCGAAGAACCUUACCAAGGCUUGACAUAUACCUGAAAAGGCUGGAAACAGUCUCCCCGCAAGGCAGGUAUACAGGUGGUGCAUGGUUGUCGUCAGCUCGUGUCGUGAGAUGUUGGGUUAAGUCCCGCAACGAGCGCAACCCUCGUUCUAUGUUGCCAGCGGGUUAUGCCGGGAACUCAUAGGAGACUGCCGGGGUCAACUCGGAGGAAGGUGGGGAUGACGUCAAAUCAUCAUGCCCCUUAUGUCUUGGGCUUCACGCAUGCUACAAUGGCCGGUACAAAGGGCUGCAAUACCGUAAGGUGGAGCGAAUCCCAAAAAGCCGGUCUCAGUUCGGAUUGAGGUCUGCAACUCGACCUCAUGAAGUCGGAGUCGCUAGUAAUCGCAGAUCAGCAACGCUGCGGUGAAUACGUUCUCGGGCCUUGUACACACCGCCCGU